Molecule: RNA transcript, 7647 nt
Organism: Lytechinus pictus (painted urchin)
Lineage: Eukaryota; Metazoa; Echinodermata; Echinoidea; Temnopleuroida; Toxopneustidae
Gene name: serine/arginine repetitive matrix protein 2-like
Exons: 7
Source: RefSeq, a predicted model, not a curated record
GCCUAACAACAAUAUGUUAAUGAAGUGACAACAACAUCGUAAGGCAUGAUGGGAAUGGUUUCACUCUGAAAAAAGUCGAUGUGAAAAUGGAUGUAAUACAUAAAAAAGUCAUGUUUCGAUUUGGAAAUAGCUUUUUGGAGAUAUUUACUGGAUUGCAGUGAUGAUAUACAGUAUGCUACCAACAGUGCCACACACAUUCUGAGGACCGCAAUGAGAAUGGAUGCUGAUGGCGUCAUCGUCUGGGAAGAUCACAGCGCACAAUCUUCAUCUUCUUGAGGAUGAUCCUGCUGAUGCCUCGGGGGACGGAAGAGGCGAAAUGAUGCCUGACGACGAUUUGGACCUCAGGACUGCUGACAGUCCGUCUUCCGUUGAGAGCCGGCAGUUGGAUGACUCCCCGGUAGAUGAUAGGGCAUCACCGGCAAAUCUUAGGGAGGAAGCCAAAUACCAGGAGGAACUCAAGGAGAGGGUGAAGAAGUCCUUUGCAGAUCUAGGAAUCGAACCUGAGGGUGUGUUGUUGAAGGAUAGUUUGGAUGACACUCCAAGGGAUCCUAUUGAAAUCAAGGAGGACCUUCCAUAUGGGGAGAUUCGGGAAGGCGAAUAUGACUCUAGGAGGAAAAAAGAAAUUGUUGAUAGUGAAGUGAAUGAUGAUGACGUUGAUUCUACCGAAGAACUUGAUGAUGGUCGUGAUGAUCAUGGAAAUGAGGAAGAAAAGCAUUUGGAAGCAGAGGUUCCUGUAAAUGAUGACGAUGAAGACGAGAACUUUCUUGCAGACUCUCUUGAAGCAGAGGCACCUAAUCAUCAAGGCCAAUCUGACCACAGAGCAGAAAGUGAAGACUAUACUGUGCACCAAGGUGAUGACAUUCAGCCUGGAAAUAAUGACAAUGCUCCAGAUGUGGGAGUGAGUAAUGACCCUCACUUUGAGGAUGAUGAAGAAGAAAAUGAUUUUGUAAGAGAUUCUUUGGAAACGGAUCGGGAUGAAGCAGAGCUGGACAACCUCAAUGACUCCAACCCUAUCAGUCUUGGAGAGGUAGAUCAAGAUCAGUUUGAUGGAGAUGCAUCUGAUAGCUUCCCAACACCUGUCAACCAAAAUAUUCUUGAUGAGAAAGAUCCUGGAGAACCUUCUGACCAAUUCCCAUCUUUGUCACAACCGUUGCAGCCAGAGGAUGAAGAUGAUGACGGAAUUGCGGAUCCAUUCCAUGAAGGAAGUGAUAAAGCAAAUGAUCAAAGUAAAGAGGAAACAUUUAGGGAUGAUGCGGGACCUGUUUCAGAAAGACCACCCUCAGAGCAAGAGUAUGAAACUCUUAAUAGAAAUAGGACAUUGGAUGGUAAUGAUGGUGAAUCCGAUGAUGGCAUUGGUGAAAAAAAUAAUAGUGGAUCACAGAAUGGAGUAAGGCCAUUUGUCAGUGACACAACUCCACUAGAACAUGAUUAUGGUGAUGAUGAUAAAGGACAACAAAGUCCAGCAGCUUUAAGAGGGGAUCAAUUUGGAGAGAGUUAUCCUGAUGAUGAUGGUCGGAAUUCAGAAAAGCCACCUGUACAUAGUCAUAUAGGGAAACAGGAGUCUAGAGAACAAUCGCCUGUCCUUCCAAAGCCUUCAAUUUCCAAUUCAAAUAACAAUGCUAAGGGACCUCAUGAGAGGCCCCCUUCUGGUGGGUCAGUACAUUCUGGUCAUAGUAAUUUGAAUAGCAGACGGAGCAGUAGUAGGCAGCGUGAUCCUACAGGUGUUCUUUCAAGUCCAGGGCACCGGACAACUUCCAGGAAUCGUACUCCUGUUAGAUCAAGAGAUAGUUCUAGAGAAAGGGAAUCGGUGUCAAAACAGUCACAGCGUAGCAGGACAAGACAGUCAUCAAAUGACAGAUCUCGGCAGACUUCCAGUGGAAGAUCAAGACAGGUACCUAAUGAUAGAGUGUCUCCUGCUUCACCACAAGCUCAGUCAGCUAACACGAAUGGAUCAUUAAAGUCUAGAGAUGGUUCAGGAGGUCCCAGGGACCAGUCCUCAAGAAACAAUGAGAGUAGAAAAGAGAAUGGUCGCAGAGGAUCUAAUGAUAUUAACAUUCCUAGAUAUUCACGCAAAGGUAUGAAUAAUUCAGAUAUUGAUGAUGAAAGUUCGAAGGAAGACCUCAGGAACAGUCCAAGCAGAGGGCAUGGAGCAAGAAAUGGAUCGAGUAAGUUCAGAAGAGUACCGUCUGGCUCAGAAAAGGCUCAAACAGUGGAGUCUGUCAAUGCAGGUAGCAAUGAUCCACUCUCCUUGAAACCCCCUCCAGGACCUCUGCGACAAAAUGUAUCUUCGCCAAAUGCCGCAAAGGCUGCUGGGCAAGUUGAUUCUACUGGGAAAAAACCUAGCCCAAGAGAUUUCAUGACCCCAGGGCAGCGAUUAGAGUUGGAGGAAAAUAAGCAGUUCUGGUCUGACAUGCACCAAGCUGGUGUCUUCAACCAGCCUUUGAAUCAGUCCAUUGCAAACCCUUCCACUGUUAACCCUACCUCCAAACCAAGGAAUGACCAAAUAGAGAAAGUAAAAUUAAAGAGCGGAGAAAAGGUUAGGGUGGAAUACAUAUCAGAUGACAGCGAUGAUGAAGAUCUGCACUUCGUAGAUGAGAAAGGAAGUCCUAUUGAUCAACUUGGUAGACCACUCUUUGCCCCACAAACUCCCGAAACCCCAGAUUUAAGGAUUAUGUAUAGAAUUAAGCCUUCUCCACCUCGACAGAAAUCAAACAAAAAAUCUUCAAGUGGAAAGCAGCGGACAAGGGAAGUGUCUGCAGCUGACUCUUCAAGGUAUGGUAGUGGUUACAGCACCAGGAAUGGAUCAGGACAGAAAUCUGGUAGAGAAGGAUCCAGGAUCCCUGUAAGACAGUUGGUAGAUAGACACGUUUCUCCCAUUGAGGAUGAGAUUGAAAUUUCUCCAGUUGAAACCCAGCAGGAGGGAAACUUAGAUUCCACUCUCCCACCAGUGACACAAGUUGAGUCUCCUAGAGAAAGGCCUGUGAAAUCUGCUUGCCUCCAAACAGGUUUAGAUGAUCUACCAACACCUGAAGAUGUUGAAGGAUCCGAGUUAAAGAGUCCUGUUCAGGAAGUUUCUAUUCAGACGUCAGAUGAGCACAUUACAGGGAAUAAUUACAACACACUGCCAUACCAAAGCCCGCUUCAGUCCCCAAGGCAUACAGGAGAAACAAGACCAUUUGGACAAGUGAGGGUUGCUCCGUUUCAACAGCAGGGUCCAGAGCAUCAACCUCCUCCUGGAUAUAAUCAGCAGGGUCAAAUGCCAUUUCCUGCAGGUGCAUAUGCUCAGCCAAUUCCAGGAAACUACCAGGGUAGUCCACAGGCACAUUGGCAACCUGUCAUGGUACAACCUGGCUACCCAAGCCAAGGCCAACAGUUUGCAGCCCCUCUUCAGCCACAGUUUGUAGAUCCAUUGAUGAAUCCUGGAAUGAACCAGCAAAUACCUCAACAGAUGAUGCCAAAUUACCCUGGCCAACAGCAUCACCCACAAUACCACCCACAAAUGCAGGAUCCCAUGCAACAAGGUCCGUUUCAACAACAAAUGCCUCAGCACCCGCAUUCUGGACUGCAAUACCAAUAUCAACCAAAUCCACAAGGUCCAUUUGCUAGUCCGGGUAGGCCAAUUCCGGUACAAGACAUGGAAGACCCUUACCCACAUGAGCGAGAUACAUCUGGGCAAUCAGACAGGAAACAACCAGGUCCCAUAAGGCAACAGCCCAAACCUAAACACAACUUCAUUGACAUCAAUAAAACAUCAGCCAAAUUGAGACGGGAUCCUCCAAAUAAAAAGUACACUGAGGGUUUCCAGCAGAAGAAGGGUUUAAGGUCACCAAUAAACCCUAGGCAACCUCUGCCACAGAUCUCCAGGGAAAGCUCCCUGGAUGAUGGCCAGGAGUCCUCAACUGGGUGGACACCACAUGGUAGUGCAACCAGCCGAUCAAAUGACCAAUGGGCACAGGCAGUUAUUCGCGAACAGCAGAUGAUCAUGUUAGCUCGAGGUAUGUCCGAUCCAAACAUCUAUCCCCAAGGACAAGGGCCUCCACCACCCAUGCGGAAUGGGUCCCUACCUGGUAACUAUGGAGGUGGAAACACAUACCAAGGUGGCUAUCCCACUCCUGACACCAAUCUUAACCAGGUUAACGGUCAACCCUACAGCUGGUCUGCAGACCGUGCAAACGCCUAUGCAAGAAUGAAUGCCAUGCAGAAUGCAAAUCAACCUGGGGUGGGAGGUCCGUUUUCUGUGGAUCCUCGAGGAAGCUAUGAGGCCACCCAGACAAGUCCAAGACAAAGGAUGGCCUACACCCAUCCUAUGCCAUCCAGGACAAGUCCUUUCCAAGUGCUUCCUGACAUACAGAACUCUGGGAGAACAAGUGGAGAAGACAAGGAAUUGAGGACCAGUGACCCCGAUGGCUACCUACUGAAGCUCCAGAAGCAGAAGCAAGGGCCUCAGUACAAACCGUACACCCUCAAAGACUUCCAGAAUCUAAAGAAGGAUUUCAAGUUUGGAGGUCUGGGGCCGGACAAGGAAACUAUGAAUAUCAGGAAUGAGAAAGUGGCCCGUCAGCGGGAUUACGCCCGUCAGGUGAUGGAACAGAACAAAAAGAUAAUAAGGGCCUCGCCUCAGGCCAGUCAUACCCCAGGGAAGGAUAGCCCACAGACAGAGGCAUCAAAGAGAGAACUGAACAACUCAUUUCCAUAUGGGUCAUUUAGAUGACAAAGCCGCAAGAUUUUGACAAGUUUUUAGACGUGUACUGGCCCUGGAGUACGCAAAACACAUCCCGAAGCCUCCUGCACCAACACCGCCGGAGGUGCUCCAUGACAGACUCUACGGCAGCGGGGCCAACUCCAGGAACAGCGAGAGUGGGUCCAGGUCCUCUAGCGUGAGGGAAGAGGCCUUCAGCACCCACGAGGAGAACACCGCCGUAGAGAUGGCACGGCUUCAGGAACUCACAGAGAGGCACCAACAAGAGAAGAAUGAACUUGAUAGAUUGAGGAAAGGACUCUCAACGUGACGUGGGAAGAGUCAGGAAAUGUCCCGGACCAUCCCUUUAAAUAAAGAUACAUGUAGACCUAUAUGUAGUAGUUUUAGAAUGAACUAUGUAGGCCUAAAAGCAGUAUGCAUGGGAACAAAAGAUUCCAGCCCCUGGUCCCCCCUACCUUUGGGGACAGAUUUCCGCCCAUGCUCUUGGCGUUUGAGUCUUGCAAGGUUUUCUAUAUGUUGUAUGUGUAUCACCCAGUUCAUGAACCGUCCGUGCGUUGUACUUGCCUUAUUUACAGGUCUAAAGUGUCUUAAUCUGGUCUGAAAUAUUGUCAUUGUUGUGUUCAAGAAUUCAUUGUUAGCUUAUGCAGAGUCCCCAAUUGAAUUGCUGUCUGUGUGAUUGUGCCAUUGGAAAAUAUGACAGUUGUUUUUAGGCAUGUUAGGGGUAUGUAUUAUUAUGUAUAUGUAGGAUGUAAAAGCAGCUGUUAUUCAUCACUUUCAACCUAAAGAAAUUAAUUCAUUUGUUUCUCUUUGACAGAGAUCUAGAGAUUGUAAUUUGUUCAAACUGAACGGAGAUACAAAUCUGUUUACCGGCAGUUUACCGGUUUACUGUGUAUUAAUCGUUGAGAUUGUACAUUACUAUGUUAAUAUGUGACCUGCCACCCCAAAACCAACAACAAGUCAACCAAAAUGAAUAUUGAGAUUUUUAUUGAGCUUGAAAAUUCACUUCGUAAGCUUUAAAAUGAUAAAUAAUAUGUUAAAAUUGACCAGUACAAGUUCUUGAUUGAAUGCAGAGGAAAUUCAGCAAGAGCUUAAAGAAUAAGGAGAAAACAAGGUUUAAAGUUUCGGGUUCACUCAGGCAUGAGAUGUGCAUACUGGGUAGUCUCAGUGAAACUUCCAAGCAGUCUGAAAAAGUAGUGUCCAAGAAACUCUUGUAUCUUUUCUUUUAUUCAACUUCACAACUUCAAAUUUUCACCGUAUGAAGAAGAAGAAUUACUCUUUCAGAUAAGCUAUUUUUUUUAAUUUGGGUUUUUGGAGACUAAAUUACUAUUUUGGCUAUUUACAGAUAACCUUACCUGGCGACUUAUUGGUGGUAGGUCAAAUAUUAGCACUUAGGCAUGAUCAGUCUCAGCUCUUUGUGAAAUGUCCCUCGGUUUGAUCUCUAAACAUUUUAUAUAUGAAUCAUCUUGAUAAUUUAAUGAUCUUAUACACCUUGAAUAUUUUGUACUUCCACUGAUGAUCUCAUUCUUGUGUCCAUCUCCAGGGGGAUGUUUCACAAAGAUUUAAGUAUGACUUAGAGUCGCACUUAAAGUCCCAGUUGCCUAGGGUAUAGAAGACAUCACCACAUUGGUCAGAUCAUGCGCACAGGACGCACACUACCUCGUAUCCAUCAAUCAGAUUGCAUGUUGCAUAUCAUGUACGCGUCGGCAUUUAAGUGCGACUUAUUAAGUUACUUAUAAAGUCAUACUUAAAUCUUUGUGAAACACCCCCUGGUCUUAAUCUUAUAAAGAAAGAACUAGGUCAAUCCAUUGGUGUUUCUUAAAGCUUUUUGUAAGUUCUGCAUAUCUUUACUAAGAUGAUGAUGAUUUGCAGCAUUUAUGUGACGACUUAUUCAUUUUAGAAUUAUUGAAAGGUACAGAAUUAUUAUUAAUCAUUAUUUUGAGGUCUUACUGGGAUGAUGAUGACUUGCAACAUUUAUAUGAUGGCAUAUUCCUUUAACAAUGUUGACAACUACAGAUUUAUUAUUAUUUUGAGGGCCACUGUGUAAAGACAAUGGAAUAGAACACAUGUGCAUUUUUCAAAAGUUCAAAUGGAAAAGUUUUCAAAGUAUCAAUGUGGGUUGAAAAAACCCACUUAACGUUGCCACCAAAUAAUUUUUUUGUAAGUUAUGCAUAUCUCAAUGACAAGGAUGAUUUCUUAUUCCUUUUCAAACGAUUUAAAGGGACAGAUUUAUUAUUUAUUAUUAUUUUGAGGUCCAUUGUAUAAGACCGUGGAAUAGGAUGCAUGUGCAUUUAAAAAAAAGUACAAAUUAAACAGUUUUGCACUAAAUGUUUCCAUCUCCCCAGUAAUACUCACCUAUCAAACAUGCCUUUAUUUCUUACAGUAAUACACCUGAAAGUUUCUGUUUCUGUUUAUGGUAACUCUCGCAGGAACUCGGCAGGACAGCAUCCUGCUGAUAAACGCCAAGCUGGUAUAUAACCAAUUACCUAGGAAACAUUUUACGUCUAGGUUACUCAGCCUUAGUGGCUGACCUUAUAGACGACAGAUAUUACUCUCGGGCCUUUUUCUCAAAGUGGAGACAAUGGCAGAGUGGGAUUUGAACUCACAACCUUCCGAUUAUGAGUCAAAUGCUCUAACCACUGGACCACACGACCCGUCACUUUGCUCUAGCUCUAAAGCUGUAAACAUUUUUUUUUCUUGAAUGUAAAAUGUUUUUUCAGUGUGCAUGUACAUUUUUGCAAAGAAAUUAUGUCAAUUCAUAUUACAUUGCCUGUACUAUAUAUGGUUUAUGUACAUGUAAUACUUUAUAGUUGUAUAGUUUUAAUGAAGAUGUCAUUUUUUAAAUUUGUAUAGCAGAAUGUGUGCCACAAUAAAAUGUAAAUACAUAUAUUUAAUGAAUAUUGUGUUGCUGAACAAUUAAAGGUGAUAUGUUAUAUGCAAGAUAAAACAAA